Molecule: ribosomal RNA, 274 nt
Filed under: uncultured bacterium
Lineage: Bacteria
Description: partial 16S ribosomal RNA
Rfam family: Bacterial small subunit ribosomal RNA
Source: RNAcentral
AUACAGAGGGUGCGAGCGUUAAUCGGAAUUACUGGGCGUAAAGCGCGCGUAGGCGGCUUAUUAAGUCAGAUGUGAAAUCCCCGGGCUCAACCUGGGAACUGCAUCUGAUACUGGUAAGCUAGAGUUUUGGAGAGGGAAGUAGAAUUCCAGGUGUAGCGGUGAAAUGCAUAGAGAUCUGAAGGAAUACCAGUGGCGAAGGCGACUUCCUGGCCAAAAACUGACGCUGAGGUGCGAAAGCGUGGGUAGCAAACGGGAUUAGAUACCCUAGUAGUCC